UGAUUGGUUAUCAUGUAAUGUAAUGUAUCCCAUUUCCCCUUGGUCUGACCCACAGCAUCCAUGACAUGGAGGACCAACAUUCUGUUGUUCUUUUUUUGGUUUUUCUAGGACCAACAGACUCCGCCGAUUGAAGACAAAGAUCUCUUCCCCUUGCAGCUGCCCAAUCUCUGCCCGCAAUCAUUAGCCCCUCCUUGCCAAGGGGAAAAAGAAAAACCCCAGCAGGUUGGAAUGGACUUCGGACCCCGGCCCUUCUGGAUGCAAGGAUGAAGUGAUUUCGCCAGCCCUGAACCAACCGAGCGGUAAAGGAGUGACCCCGUAAGAGUUUGGGACCAAAACGAGGAGAGAGGUUUGGAAAGGACUGGCCUUGGGCCCGGAGAGGA
Molecule: long non-coding RNA, 380 nt
Filed under: Sarcophilus harrisii (Tasmanian devil)
Lineage: Eukaryota; Metazoa; Chordata; Mammalia; Dasyuromorphia; Dasyuridae
Description: lncRNA (ENSSHAG00000022925.1)
Source: RNAcentral